Molecule: ribosomal RNA, 1545 nt
Filed under: Salmonella enterica subsp. enterica serovar Newport
Lineage: Bacteria; Pseudomonadati; Pseudomonadota; Gammaproteobacteria; Enterobacterales; Enterobacteriaceae
Description: bacterial SSU rRNA
Rfam family: Bacterial small subunit ribosomal RNA
Source: RNAcentral
AAAUUGAAGAGUUUGAUCAUGGCUCAGAUUGAACGCUGGCGGCAGGCCUAACACAUGCAAGUCGAACGGUAACAGGAAGCAGCUUGCUGCUUCGCUGACGAGUGGCGGACGGGUGAGUAAUGUCUGGGAAACUGCCUGAUGGAGGGGGAUAACUACUGGAAACGGUGGCUAAUACCGCAUAACGUCGCAAGACCAAAGAGGGGGACCUUCGGGCCUCUUGCCAUCAGAUGUGCCCAGAUGGGAUUAGCUAGUUGGUGAGGUAACGGCUCACCAAGGCGACGAUCCCUAGCUGGUCUGAGAGGAUGACCAGCCACACUGGAACUGAGACACGGUCCAGACUCCUACGGGAGGCAGCAGUGGGGAAUAUUGCACAAUGGGCGCAAGCCUGAUGCAGCCAUGCCGCGUGUAUGAAGAAGGCCUUCGGGUUGUAAAGUACUUUCAGCGGGGAGGAAGGUGUUGUGGUUAAUAACCACAGCAAUUGACGUUACCCGCAGAAGAAGCACCGGCUAACUCCGUGCCAGCAGCCGCGGUAAUACGGAGGGUGCAAGCGUUAAUCGGAAUUACUGGGCGUAAAGCGCACGCAGGCGGUCUGUCAAGUCGGAUGUGAAAUCCCCGGGCUCAACCUGGGAACUGCAUUCGAAACUGGCAGGCUUGAGUCUUGUAGAGGGGGGUAGAAUUCCAGGUGUAGCGGUGAAAUGCGUAGAGAUCUGGAGGAAUACCGGUGGCGAAGGCGGCCCCCUGGACAAAGACUGACGCUCAGGUGCGAAAGCGUGGGGAGCAAACAGGAUUAGAUACCCUGGUAGUCCACGCCGUAAACGAUGUCUACUUGGAGGUUGUGCCCUUGAGGCGUGGCUUCCGGAGCUAACGCGUUAAGUAGACCGCCUGGGGAGUACGGCCGCAAGGUUAAAACUCAAAUGAAUUGACGGGGGCCCGCACAAGCGGUGGAGCAUGUGGUUUAAUUCGAUGCAACGCGAAGAACCUUACCUGGUCUUGACAUCCACAGAACUUUCCAGAGAUGGAUUGGUGCCUUCGGGAACUGUGAGACAGGUGCUGCAUGGCUGUCGUCAGCUCGUGUUGUGAAAUGUUGGGUUAAGUCCCGCAACGAGCGCAACCCUUAUCCUUUGUUGCCAGCGAUUAGGUCGGGAACUCAAAGGAGACUGCCAGUGAUAAACUGGAGGAAGGUGGGGAUGACGUCAAGUCAUCAUGGCCCUUACGACCAGGGCUACACACGUGCUACAAUGGCGCAUACAAAGAGAAGCGACCUCGCGAGAGCAAGCGGACCUCAUAAAGUGCGUCGUAGUCCGGAUUGGAGUCUGCAACUCGACUCCAUGAAGUCGGAAUCGCUAGUAAUCGUGGAUCAGAAUGCCACGGUGAAUACGUUCCCGGGCCUUGUACACACCGCCCGUCACACCAUGGGAGUGGGUUGCAAAAGAAGUAGGUAGCUUAACCUUCGGGAGGGCGCUUACCACUUUGUGAUUCAUGACUGGGGUGAAGUCGUAACAAGGUAACCGUAGGGGAACCUGCGGUUGGAUCACCUCCUUACCU